Molecule: ribosomal RNA, 473 nt
Filed under: uncultured bacterium
Lineage: Bacteria
Description: bacterial SSU rRNA
Rfam family: Bacterial small subunit ribosomal RNA
Source: RNAcentral
ACGCUAUCACUCCUACGGGAGGCAGCAGUAGGGAAUAUUGGACAAUGGGCGCAAGCCUGAUCCAGCCAUGCCGCGUGAGUGAAGAAGGCCCUCGGGUUGUAAAGCUCUUUUGUUGGGGAAGAAAAGCCUUGGGUUAAUACCCCGGGGUCCUGACGUACCCAAAGAAUAAGCACCGGCUAACUUCGUGCCAGCAGCCGCGGUAAUACGAAGGGUGCAAGCGUUACUCGGAAUUACUGGGCGUAAAGCGUGCGUAGGUGGUUCGUUAAGUCUGAUGUGAAAGCCCUGGGCUCAACCUGGGAAUUGCAUUGGAUACUGGCGGGCUAGAGUGCGGUAGAGGGUAGUGGAAUUCCCGGUGUAGCAGUGAAAUGCGUAGAGAUCGGGAGGAACAUCUGUGGCGAAGGCGACUGCCUGGACCAGCACUGACACUGAGGCACGAAAGCGUGGGGAGCAAACAGGAUUAGAUACCCUGGUAG